Molecule: long non-coding RNA, 268 nt
Filed under: Lathyrus oleraceus (garden pea)
Lineage: Eukaryota; Viridiplantae; Streptophyta; Magnoliopsida; Fabales; Fabaceae
Description: Pisum sativum (pea) long non-coding RNA (PSAT_LNC042319)
Source: RNAcentral
AAAUAUUUCAUCAAAAUUCUAUAGAGUUCGAUCACAUUAAAAAUUUGAUGUGUGGAACAAAAACAAAGACAAUUAAAAUAAAUGACCUUAAACAAAAGUUAACUCUCAAUGCAAUAAAUUUAACUUUGGAGAAGAUAAAGUCAAGACAAUAAAUAUUAUAACUUAUUUACAAAUUUGAUCAAACGAUCUACUUUGGAAAAGAGACGAGGUAUCUAAUUCACUAUACUUCUAAAAGAUGUUAUAAAAGACUACAAAUGAGUUCUAAGAA